UGGGGAAUAUUGCACAAUGGGCGCAAGCCUGAUGCAGCCAUGCCGCGUGUAUGAAGAAGGCCUUCGGGUUGUAAAGUACUUUCAGCGAGGAGGAAUGCGUUGUGGUUAAUAACCGCAACGAUUGACGUUACUCGCAGAAGAAGCACCGGCUAACUCCGUGCCAGCAGCCGCGGUAAUACGGAGGGUGCAAGCGUUAAUCGGAAUUACUGGGCGUAAAGCGCACGCAGGCGGUCUGUCAAGUCGGAUGUGAAAUCCCCGGGCUCAACCUGGGAACUGCAUCCGAAACUGGCAGGCUAGAGUCUUGUAGAGGGGGGUAGAAUUCCAGGUGUAGCGGUGAAAUGCGUAGAGAUCUGGAGGAAUACCGGUGGCGAAGGCGGCCCCCUGGACAAAGACUGACGCUCAGGUGCGAAAGCGUGGGGAGCAAACA
This 427-nucleotide ribosomal RNA is filed under the name uncultured bacterium. Its description in RNAcentral is "partial 16S ribosomal RNA". It matches the Rfam family "Bacterial small subunit ribosomal RNA", at positions 355 to 774 of the family's 1533-position model. The record is from RNAcentral.